Molecule: long non-coding RNA, 897 nt
Filed under: Heterocephalus glaber (naked mole-rat)
Lineage: Eukaryota; Metazoa; Chordata; Mammalia; Rodentia; Bathyergidae
Description: lncRNA (ENSHGLG00000032393.1)
Rfam family: Mason-Pfizer monkey virus packaging signal (bases 517-809)
Source: RNAcentral
CAUGCACACACACAUACAUACAAAGACCUAAAAAAAAUCUAAAUAAUAGAAAUUAUGAGGGACUUCCAAGGAGAUGGCAAGGUGGUGAGCAGCAGAGAAACAGCCUCUCCAAGAUACAAAGUGCAGACACUGAAAUAUAGCAAUGUGAGUAAGAGAAAAGGGAGAGAACGGGUCUCUGGGACCCAGCAAGGAUCUGAAGUGAGAAUUGGAGCCCACAAGGAGAACAAAGAGAAGGAUCUCAACACUGAAGUGGGAAGUGGCAAGUGGCAGUUUCUCCUUGAGCCCUGACUCAAAGCAUGGGACAGACAGCUUGAACCUGCAGAGACACGGUGACUACUGGUGAUGCCACAGGUCUCCAUGGAGAAAUGCAACAGUGGAAUGGAGCAGUGGACCCUGUGAAAUGCAGUGGCUGGAGACUACAAUUAAAGGAUGUGGACUAACUGAUCUGGUGGAGGAAAGUUCAAGACAGCCCAACACUCAAGGGUCUCCGUUGACUUACCCGCGGGCCGGGACAAGUGGCGCCCAACGUGGGGCCAGAGAACGGGGGUUCCAGUGAAGGACGCUGCUCAGGGGCCCUAAGAUUAAGAUUGAGGAACAAAGAGCACACUCGACACGGGAGAGGCUUGCAAUUGACGUGGACCUGCCGUCUUUUUGCACCUCGGUAAGUUGAGCAGCGAUUAUGGGACAGGGCAUUAGUCAGCAUGAAUUGUUUGUGCAAGGUCUCAAGAAGACAUUACAGGCACGAGGGGUAAAGGUUACAGUCAAACAGUUGUUAAGAUUUUUUGAUUAUAUUAAAGAUCUCUGUCCCUGGUUCCCUGCUGAGGGAACCAUUGACGAACAGAGAUGGAAAAAGGUGGGGGAAGCUCUCCAGGAUUAUUAUGCCACUUGCGGACCCGG